Long non-coding RNA from Passer domesticus (house sparrow), 315 nucleotides. RefSeq lists it as uncharacterized. The record is from RefSeq and is a predicted model, not a curated record. The transcript is spliced from 2 exons. Lineage: Eukaryota; Metazoa; Chordata; Aves; Passeriformes; Passeridae.
CUUAAAAGAAAAUCACAUGAGCUACUACAAUGUCUCCCCUUUGCUAUCUGGUGGCUAUGUUACAGAAUUCCUGUCAGAAAUCUCUGUAGAUGGGAGCCUAUCAUGGCUUUAUCUUCACUAGAUGGUGCCUUCACAGCAAGUGCAGCCUAAGGAUGAUGACUCAUCUUGGGACAGAUGUGAGAGUCCUGGACACAAAGAGCUAUUCCAGAAAAAAAGGGCAUGUGGAAUAUUCCUGGCAUAUGCUUCAUGGAACUCAUAGUCUGCUUCAGUGGUGGAUAAAUAAGGAAAAUAAAGUGGAACAGUGGGAAAGAAAAA